Molecule: long non-coding RNA, 161 nt
Organism: Rosa chinensis
Lineage: Eukaryota; Viridiplantae; Streptophyta; Magnoliopsida; Rosales; Rosaceae
Exons: 3
Source: RefSeq, a predicted model, not a curated record
AGCCGCUUUUCCAUGCCAUUGCAUUGCAGCGGUACAUACUUUUAUGCACACAGUUAGUAUUGGCAUUAGAGGCAGGCGUCAAAUUGUUGGACAUAUCCAAUUGCUAGAUACUUAUAGUUGUCUGUGAGAACAGAAAGGAAUUGCAAUAUGGAGGACUGGGG